GGGACCCUUAGAAUGCUUUGCGUGCGAGCAUCUCGAGUGUGAGAGUUUUGGUGGCAACUUGCUGGCUCAAAGAAGAGUUCCCUCCUGAGUGAAGCCAGGAUCCUUCCCCCUUGGAGAGAAGAACACACAGGUGUGCUUUGGGUCCACAGCGUCCCGUUGAUUCAUCCAGCUGAAGUGAGUCCCUGUUGUCCGUGCCUGUGAGAACACCAGGACAGCUUCUCUCUCCCUGCUUCUGGUACAGUAAACCAUGCAUGCUUACUCUAUUACCUUCUUAUUGGGCCUCUUUUUGUAGAAACUUGUUCCAUGGACCAGUGUGUGCGGAGUACAAUGGCUCGCAUUUAAGAGACGCUCAGCGAUUGUUUUCUAGGUGGAACGCAACAUUGCCUCUGCGCUCACCCAGUGGAGAGGAAGGUCUAGUAUCAGUGCCAGCCUGGCAUUUAUUUGGGGUGCUGGGCCUCCCGACUGUAUCUCUGGAUCAGGGAGGGCUUCGAGGAGGGAUUCUUGAGAAAGCCCUUGGUAGAUGCAGAGGAGGUGAAAUCACGUGGGAGUGAGAGAGAGGCUUCAGAGAGCUGCCUGAUUGGAGUUUCUAAGCAACUGUCCAUCUUGAUUGACUGGUUUCCCAGGACCUCAGGGUUUUUCAUGCAGAGCAGACCCAGUAACUACAGGAAGACAAGGGUGGAUGACGCGCAGACUCCUGGGCUGUGGGCUCAGCUCCCUUCCAGUGACCCAGUGGAGCCAGAAGGCACAGGUGACUGGAAAGCAGCCAAAUCUUGGGCCAAUUUUGAGUCCCUAGAUGGGUCACUGUGAGUGUCAGGCCACCGGCACCAAACUGGUGGGCUGCACGUGCAACUUGUCAUGCGUGGUAGCCACACAUUGGUCUGUGUGACCCAGCCCAGGGGAGCCACCCCCUGGAGCGGCACUCUGACACCCUCCACUCUGAUCUAAACACAGGUUUUUAAUUUCCCAGUGUUCUGCCCUUUCUCCCUCUCGCUGGUUGGCUUCUCUGUCACUUCAUUUCCUGCUAUGUUCUCAUCUUACAACAAAGGUGAACAGAGCUGACCUCUCCUUGCCCCAAAGCAGAAUAAAAUACAGAACAGAUUUUUGUGAAUAAAAAUAGAGGCGAAUACCACCAGCCAGUCGCUGUGGGCUCCACAAGGUCCAUCUGGUCUACUUCAUACUGGCCCUACAGUUUCAACCUCAGGGCAGAGAAGCCAAGGCAGGGCCAAGCCCUGGGGCAAGCAGUGGACAGAGGCCAGCUCUCUGAGCCACAGUGAGGCUAGACCAGGUGGUGUUGGACAACUCUUUCCUGUGGAGGGCAGCUGGGAACAUGGUGACCUCCUUUCAAGUUGCCCUUACCAGGGGACCAAGGAGGAAAAAUUGAAAUGGUAAUACCUCGUAGGAAGGAAAUAUCUGGAACGUUGGGGGAAAUUACAAGAAGGAUGCAGAAUAUUUCUUAGAAUAGUAGCAGGGACUGGUUAGAGUCAAACAGAGACCCCAGGUUGGGCCCUUGUUCUUUUGCAAUAGGCUGUGUUACCUUAGGUAAGACGCUUCACCUCUGUUUUGUCAUCUGUGAAAUGGAGACAGUGAGGGAGGUUUUGGAAGUGAACUCGGAGUCAAAUAAGCCACCACGUCUUAUUCAGGAAGUGCCUGUCAUGGGAUCUAUGAUGUACGCUCUUUUCCAUUGGGCUAUUGGCUUGAUUGUCAGUGGGACCCCCUGGGACUUCACACCCCCCAGCUUUAGUCUCUCAGAACUAUCUGGAAGUUUUGUCAGUUUUGUACACAGAAUAAUGCUUCUUCUUGUCCCAGUUUGUGACAGAUGUCUGACUUCAGGGCAGGUUCUCUGCUCCUGUAGUUGCCACUGGGGCACAGCCUCCCAACCAUGCUGACUAGCAGGUAUGCGCUUGUAAACAAUGCAUUAAAUAGCUGGAUGCACAGAUGCUUGCUAUUUUAAGAUAUUAGGUCAAGACAAUUUUAAGUGUGAGUUUAGGUCAUAUUCCUCCAUGUAUUUUCUGCCCCUAUUUAAAUGUAGGUGGGGAAAGGCUUUCUGGGAUACCCCUGGUCUGCAGAGAGCUGUGGCUAGGUUUAGAAGCAGAAGUUGUCUGCAAGACACUUUCCAUCCUCAAUUUUGUUUGUAAGGGUUCUGAAAGUGUUGAAAAAGUAUACUAGAUGCAUGGGAGGUGAGGCGUCAGGAGAGA
Molecule: small RNA, 2195 nt
Filed under: Rattus norvegicus (Norway rat)
Lineage: Eukaryota; Metazoa; Chordata; Mammalia; Rodentia; Muridae
Description: uncharacterized LOC103692595
Source: RNAcentral